Molecule: long non-coding RNA, 1382 nt
Organism: Pipistrellus kuhlii (Kuhl's pipistrelle)
Lineage: Eukaryota; Metazoa; Chordata; Mammalia; Chiroptera; Vespertilionidae
Exons: 2
Source: RefSeq, a predicted model, not a curated record
AGCAGUGUGAGAGCGGUGGUGUCUGCGUAACGCCUGUACUUAGCUGCAUGCUUUCCUCUUAAGGAGACCUAGGGAUUGGAUGGUGGGCUGCUACAUAGCCAGGCAGUAUCAGGAAGGGCCAUUCCGGGUGAAACAACUGAGAAGGAUGAAUGAAGAGAGCGCUUCUCAGCUGGGUGACCCUCUGAAUGGAUGAACCCCAGUCACUGAAAUUUGCCCAUUCUCAGCUCUGAAACAGGCACACGUGAAGAUGGGUACAGAUUUGGUUUUGCCAUUAGCCACCCGCCACUGCACCUGACCACUCCCCCGUUGGCUGGUGCAUUCCAGUGGUGAGCUGAAAGGAACCCCCAGCUUAGCAAACAGGGUUAUUCUUCAUGUGGAUGACUCUGUGCCGAAAGCAGGGGACAACCAGGAAAUGGCUGAGGGAGGCCAUUGUGGUCUGGCCUGGCUUUGGGUGUGACAAAGCUUUUGCCGUGUUUUCUUUUCUCUGCAGUUAAGCACAGUGGAAACAUCACAUUCGAUGAGAUUGUCAGUAUUGCCCGACAGAUGCGACACCGAUCUUUAGCCAGAGAACUCUCUGGAACAAUUAAAGAGAUCCUGGGGACUGCCCAGUCUGUGGGGUGCAAUGUUGAUGGCCGCCACCCUCAUGACAUCAUAGAUGAUAUCAACAGUGGUGCAGUGAAAUGUCCCGCUGUAAGUGACUUCUGUUAUUUUCUUUGCUUAAAAUCAAUCAGGGGAGAGCUGGAGAGUUUUAGAAUUGGUCAGUAGUGGGGUUGAGGAGACUUUUUUCCAUAUCACUGAUAGGAUUUCUUUCUUCUUUCCUACAGACUUAAGAACUACAAAGGAAAAGGACUCAGACAUCAUUUGACAAGCAGUGACUUUUCUAUGUGGCCUCCUCCUUGGGGAGCUGGGUUCUUUGUGUCAGGUGGUUAGCGGGACCAAGUGGGGAGCCUGUGGAAGCACCAAUCUGGGCAUCUGUGAUCUCAGCAGUAGCGGGUUUCUGCCCUCUGCCUGCAGCUCUCAUGAAAGACGUCUCAGCAUUUCUGUAGACAGCCCGGGAGCUCUUCAUAAGAAAUAGUUCUUGGCCAGAAGGAAAGCUUGUAGUGCAGCCUAACUACAGGGUGAUGAGUUCUUCAUCAUAGACCAAGUCAUUUGGUGGGCUGGGGCCCAGGACCUGCAAUUCAAGACUUCAAUAUCCAUUCCAGCACACAGCUGGGGUUAACUGAUUGGUUAACUAAGAAACCUGACCUGUGUCCUUGGUUUAUCUGAGUUUCUGUGAAAGUGAGGGUCAAGUAUACUUCUAAAGUUUAGCUACAGCCUAGUCCUGACAGUCUCUUGGCUUUAAGCCAGUGACAGAUGAUAAUCUGUUUUCACCUUUUUCCUCA